GACGAACGCUGGCGGCGUGCCUAAUACAUGCAAGUCGAACGCAGUGGGGACGGGUGAGUAACACGUGGGUAACCUCCCAUCAGAGGGGAUAACACUUGGAAACAGGUGCUAAACCGAUACUGAUGGAUGGUCCCGCGGGGCAUUAGCUAGUGGGUGAGGUAACGGCGCACCAAGGCCACGAUGAAUAGCCGGCCUGAGAGGGUGAGCGUCCACACGGGAACUGAGACACGGCCCAGAUUCCUACGGGAGGCAGCAGUAGGGAAGUGUCGGCAAUGGACGAAAGUCUGACCGAGCAACGCCGCGUGAGUGAAGAAGGUUUUCGGAUCGUAAAACUCUGUUGUUAGAGAAGCGGUAUCUAACCAGAAAGCCACGGCUAACUACGUGCCAGCAGCCGCGGUAAUAC
Molecule: ribosomal RNA, 403 nt
Filed under: uncultured bacterium
Lineage: Bacteria
Description: partial 16S ribosomal RNA
Rfam family: Bacterial small subunit ribosomal RNA
Source: RNAcentral